Molecule: long non-coding RNA, 619 nt
Organism: Centropristis striata (black sea bass)
Lineage: Eukaryota; Metazoa; Chordata; Actinopteri; Perciformes; Serranidae
Exons: 4
Source: RefSeq, a predicted model, not a curated record
GAGGUCGUGUAUCCGGGAUCCUCCGGUAAGACCCCCCAAACCAACACGAGAGGAGGACGGAGAAUAAUUUACCGACCGAUUUGUGUGUGGUUUUAAUGUCAGUGCCGUCUCUGUCCGGUCUGCACGGAGUCUGAGACUCUGUGACAUCAGAUCAUUCAAUCUAAAGGAGCAGCGAGUCUUCAACCUGCUGCUUGAAUCUGGAUCCAGACACUUCUUCUUCUCUCUGAUGGGAUGGAGGUGGAAGCGUCCUGAAAGUAACUGAUCAAAAUCAACAGCACCAUGUUGGCAUAGGACGGUGCCAUCUUUUUGAUUUGACAGGAUACUAAUGCAGUUAAGCUCGAGGCCACGUCUGUCUGGCUCGGUGGAAACUCCAGACAGAUUGCUGUACUAAAGAGGAGACUAAGAGGAGGAAGCCGGGCACUUUGGGAUCUGAUCCAAUGACCUGCAGUAGAAGUGAAGCAGAGCAGAGGCUUGAUUAAAAUGGGGCUGCAGCUCUUCGUACCUGUUGACAGUGUGUCUGAGGGCCGCUCGCUCAGCCCGCAGCCAUGCCAGACGUAAAGCCUCCACCACCAUGUGACUACCCCUCCACCUCCUCCACUGCAGCCUCCGCCGGCUCUCC